UUGGCGUUAGGGUUAAAAUCACUGUCCAAAACCUUUGUAGGAACUCUUUUUCCAACCUUUUGGAGUUAGUUAGACCAAAAAAUAUGAAAAAAGAAAAAAAUAUUAUUGGGGGUUUUCGGGCUUCCUGAAAGUAAUACCCGGGUAUUAGGUUUUGGGGCUAUGGUAAGGUUUAAGUUUUUUGGCGUUAGGGUUAAAAUCACUGUCCAAAACCUUUGUAGGAACUCUUUUCCAACCUUUUGGAGUUAGUUAGACCAAAAAAAAAAAAGAAAAAUGAAAAAAAAAUAUUUGGGGUGUUCAGGCUUCCUAAAAGUAAUACCCGGGUAUUAGGUUAUAGGGCUAUGGUAAGGUUUAAGGUUUUUGGCGUUAGGGUUAAAAUCACUGUCCAAAACCUUUGUAGGAACUCUUUUCCAACCUUUUGGAGUUGGUUACAACAAAAAAAAUGUAAAAUGAAAAAAAAAAUAUUUGGGGUGUUCGGGCUUCCUGAAUGUAAUACCCGGGUAUUAGAUUUUAAGGCUAUGGUAAGGUUUAAGUUUUUUGGCGUUAGGGUUAAAAUCACUGUCCAAAACCUUUGUAGGAACUCUUUUCCAACCUUUUGGAGUUAGUUAGACCAAAAAAAAAAGAAAAAUGAAAAAAAAAUAUUUGGGGUGUUCAGGCUUCCUAAAAGUAAUACCCAGGUAUUAGGUUAUGGGGCUAUGGUAAGGUUUAAGUUUUUUGGCGUUAGGGUUAAAAUCACUGUCCAAAACCUUUGUAGGAACUCUUUUUCAACCUUUUGGAGUUAGUUAGACCAAAAAAAAAAUGAAAAAUGAAAAAAAAAAUAUUUGGGGUUUACGGGCUUCCUGAAUGUAAUACCCGGGUAUUAGAUUUUAAGGCUAGGGAAAGGUUUAAGUUUUUUGGCGUUAGGGUUAAAAUCACUGUCCAAAACCUUUGUAGGAACUCUUUUCCAACCUUUUGGAGUUAGUUAGACCAAAAAAUAUGAAAAAAGAAAAAAAUAUUAUUGGGGGUUUUCGGGCUCCCUGAAAGUAAUACCCGGGUAUUAGGUUUUGGGGCUAUGGUAAGGUUUAAGUUUUUUGGCGUUAGGGUUAAAAUCACUGUCCAAAACCUUUGUAGGAACUCUUUUCCAACCUUUUGGAGUUAGUUAGACCAAAAAAUAUGAAAAAAGAAAAAAAUAUUAUUGGGGGUGUUCAGGCUUCCUAAAAGUAAUACCCGGGUAUUAGGUUAUGGGGCUAUGGUAAGGUUUAACGUUUUGGCGUUAGGUUUAAAAUCACUGUCCAAAACCUUUGUAGGAACUCUUUUCCAACCUUUUGGAGUUAGUUAGACCAAAAAAAAAAAGAAAAAUUAAAAAAAAUAUAUUUGGGGUGUUCAGGCUUCCUAAAAGUAAUACCCGGGUAUUAGGUUAUGGGGCUAUGGUAAGGUUUAAGGUUUUUGGCGUUAGGGUUAAAAUCACUGUCCAAAACCUUUGUAGGAACUCUUUUUCAACCUUUUGGAGUUAGUUAGACCAAAAAAAAAAUGAAAAAUGAAAAAUAAAAUAUUUGGGGUGUUCAGGCUUCCUGAAGGUAAUACCCGGGUAUUAGAUUUCAAGGCUAGGGUAAGGUUUAAGUUUUUUGGCGUUAGGGUUAAAAUCACUGUCCAAAACCUUUGUAGGAACUCUUUUCCAACCUUUUGGAGUUAGUUAGACCAAAAAAUAUGAAAAAGAAAAAAAUAUUAUUGGGGGUUUUCGGGCUCCCUGAAAGUAAUACCCGUGUAUUAGGUUUUGGGACUAGGGAAAGGUUUAAGGGUUUUGGCGUUAGGGUUAAAAUCACUGUCCAAAACCUUUGUAGGAACUCUUUUCCAACCUUUUGGAGUUAGUUAGACCAAAAAAAAAUGAAAAAUUAAAAAAAAUAUAUUUGGGGUGUUCAGGCUUCCUAAAAGUAAUACCCGGGUAUUAGGUUAUGGGGCUAUGGUAAGGUUUAAGGUUUUUGGCGUUAGGGUUAAAAUCACUGUCCAAAACCUUUGUAGGAACUCUUUUCCAACCUUUUGGAGUUAGUUAGACCAAAAAAAAAUGAAAAAUGAAAAAAAAAAUUAUUUGGGGUUUACGGGCUUCCUGAAUGUAAUACCCGGGUAUUAGAUUUUAAGGCCAGGGAAAGGUUUAAGUUUUUUGGCGUUAGGGUUAAAAUCACUGUCCAAAACCUUUGUAGGAACUCUUUUCCAACCUUUUGGAGUUAGUUAGACCAAAAAAUAUGAAAAAAGAAAAAAAUAUUAUUGGGGGUGUUCAGGCUUCCUAAAAGUAAUACCCGGGUAUUAGGUUAUGGGGCUAUGGUAAGGUUUAAGGUUUUUGGCGUUAGGUUUAAAAUCACUGUCCAAAACCUUUGUAGGAACUCUUUUCCAACCUUUUGGAGUUAGUUAGACCAAAAAAAAAAUGAAAAAUUAAAAAAAAUAUAUUUGGGGUGUUCAGGCUUCCUAAAAGUAAUACCCGGGUAUUAGGUUAUGGGGCUAUGGUAAGGUUUAAGGUUUUUGGCGUUAGGGUUAAAAUCACUGUCCAAAACCUUUGUAGGAACUCUUUUUCAACCUUUUGGAGUUAGUUAGACCAAAAAAAAAAUGAAAAAUGAAAAAAAAAAUAUUUGGGGUUUACGGGCUUCGUGAAUGUAAUACCCGGGUAUUAGAUUUUAUGCCAGGGAAAGGUUUAAGUUUUUUGGCGUUAGGGUUAAAAUCACUGUCCAAAUCCUUUGUAGGAACUCUUUUCCAACCUUUUGGAGUUAGUUAGACCAAAAAAAAAAAUGAAAAGUGAAAAAAAAAAUAUUUGGGGUUUACGGGCUUCCUGAAUGUAAUACCCGGGUAUUAGAUUUUAAGGCCAGGGAAAGGUUUAAGUUUUUUGGCGUUAGGGUUAAAAUCACUGUCCAAAACCUUUGUAGGAACUCUUUUCCAACCUUUUGGAGUUAGUUAGACCAAAAAAAAAAGAAAAAUGAAAAAAAAAUAUUUGGGGUGUUCAGGCUUCCUAAAAGUAAUACCCGGGUAUUAGGUCAUGGGGCUAUGGUAAGGUUUAAGGUUUUUGGCGUUAGGGUUAAAAUCACUGUCCAAAACCUUUGUAGGAACUCUUUUUCAACCUUUUGGAGUUAGUUAGACCAAAAAAAAAAUGAAAAAUGAAAAAAAAAUAUUUGGGGUUUACGGGCUUCCUGAAUGUAAUACCCGGGUAUUAGGUUAUGGGGCUAUGGUAAGGUUUAAGGUUUUUGGCGUUAGGGUUGAAAUCACUGUCCAAAACCUUUGUAGGAACUCUUUUUCAACCUUUUGGAGUUAGUUAGACCAAAAUAAAAAUGAAAAAUGAAAAAAAAAAUAUUUGGGGUUUACGGGCUUCAUGAAUGUAAUACCCGGGUAUUAGAUUUUAAGGCCAGGGUAAGGUUUAAGUUUUUUGGCGUUAGGGUUAAAAUCACUGUCCAAAACCUUUGUAGGAACUCUUUUCCAACCUUUUGGAGUUAGUUAGACCAAAAAAAAAAGAAAAAUGAAAAAAAAAUAUUUGGGGUGUUCAGGCUUCCUAAAAGUAAUACCUGGGUAUUAGGUUAUAGGGCUAUGGUAAGGUUUAAGUUUUUUGGCGUUAGGGUUAAAAUCACUGUCCAAAACCUUUGUAGGAACUCUUUUCCAACCUUUUGGAGUUGGUUACAACAAAAAAAAUGUAAAAUGAAAAAAAAAAAUAUUUGGGGUGUUCGGGCUUCCUGAAAGUAAUACCCGGGUAUUAGAUUUUAAGGCCAGGGUAAGGUUUAAGUUUUUUGGCGUUAGGGUUAAAAUCACUGUCCAAAACCUUUGUAGGAACUCUUUUCCAACCUUUUGGAGUUAGUUAGACCAAAAAAAAAAGAAAAAUGAAAAAAAAAUAUUUGGGGUGUUCAGGCUUCCUAAAAGUAAUACCCGGGUAUUAGGUUAUGGGGCUAUGGUAAGGUUUAAGUUUUUUGGCGUUAGGGUUAAAAUCACUGUCCAAAACCUUUGUAGGAACUCUUUUCCAACCUUUUGGAGUUAGUUAGACCAAAAAAUAUGAAAAAAGAAAAAAAUAUUAUUGGGGGUUUUCGGGCUUCCUGAAAGUAAUACCCGGGUAUUAGGUUUUGGGGCUAUGGUAAGGUUUAAGGUUUUUGGCGUUAGGGUUAAAAUCACUGUCCAAAACCUUUGUAGGAACUCUUUUCCAACCUUUUGGAGUUAGUUAGACCAAAAAAUAUGAAAAAAGAAAAAAAUAUUAUUGGGGGUUUUCGGGCUCCCUGAAAGUAAUACCCGGGUAUUAGGUUAUGGGGCUAUGGUAAGGUUUAAGUUUUUUGGCGUUAGGGUUAAAAUCACUGUCCAAAACCUUUGUAGGAACUCUUUUCCAACCUUUUGGAGUUAGUUAGACCAAAAAAAAAAGAAAAAUGAAAAAAAAAUAUUUGGGGUUUACGGGCUUCCUGAUUGUAAUACCCGGGUAUUAGAUUUUAAGGCCAGGGAAAGGUUUAAGUUUUUUGGCGUUAGGGUUAAAAUCACUGUCCAAAACCUUUGUAGGAACUCUUUUCCAACCUUUUGGAGUUAGUUAGACCAAAAAGUAUGAAAAAAGAAAAAAAUAUUAUUGGGGUUUUCGGGCUCCUGAAAGUAAUACCCGGGUAUUAGGUUUUGGGGCUAUGGUAAGGUUUAAGUUUUUUGGCGUUAGGUUUAAAAUCACUGUCCAAAACCUUUGUAGGAACUCUUUUCCAACCUUUUGGAGUUAGUUAGACCAAAAAAAAAAGAAAAAUGAAAAAAAAAAUAUUUGGGGUGUUCAGGCUUCCUAAAAGUAAUACCCGGGUAUUAGGUUAUGGGGCUAUGGUAAGGUUUAAGGUUUUUGGCGUUAGGGUUAAAAUCACUGUCCAAAACCUUUGUAGGAACUCUUUUCCAACCUUUUGGAGUUAGUUAGACCAAAAAAUAUGAAAAAAAGAAAAAAAUAUUAUUGGGGGUUUUCGGGCUCCCUUAAAGUAAUACCCGGGUAUUAGGUUUUGGGGCUAUGGUAAGGUUUAAGUUUUUUGGCGUUAGGGUUAAAAUCACUGUCCAAAACCUUUGUAGGAACUCUUUUCCAACCUUUUGGAGUUAGUUAGACCAAAAAAAAAUGAAAAAUGAAAAAACAAUAUUUGGGGUUUUCGGGGUUCCUGAAUGUAAUACCCGGGUAUUAGAUUUUAAGGCUAGGGUAAGGUUUAAGUUUUUUGGCAUUAGGGUUCAAAUCACUGUCCAAAACCUUUGUAGGAACUCUUUUCCAACCUUUUGGAGUUAGUUAGACCAAAAAGUAUGAAAAAAGAAAAAAAUAUUAUUGGGGGUUUUCGGGCUCCCUGAAAGUAAUACCCGGGUAUUAGGUUUUGGGGCUAUGGUAAGGUUUAAGUUUUUUGGCGUUAGGGUUAAAAUCACUGUCCAAAACCUUUGUAGGAACUCUUUUCCAACCUUUUGGAGUUAGUUAGACCAAAAAAUAUGAAAAAAGAAAAAAAUAUUAUUGGGGGUUUUCGGGCUCCCUGAAAGUAAUACCCGGGUAUUAGGUUUUGGGGCUAUGGUAAGGUUUAAGGUUUUUGGCAUAAGGGUUAAAAUCCCUGUCCAAAACCUUUGUAGGAACACUUUUCCAACCUUUUGGAAUUAGAUAAACCAAAAAAAUAUGAAAAAUGAAAAAAUAUAUAUUUGGGGUUUCCGGGCUUCCUGAAUGUAAUACCCGGGUAUUAGAUUUUAAGGCUAGGGUAAGGUUUAAGUUUUUUGGCGUUAGGGUUAAAAUCACUGUCCAAAACCUUUGUAGGAACUCUUUUCCAACCUUUUGGAGUUAGUUAGACCAAAAAAUAUGAAAAAAGAAAAAAAUAUUAUUGGGGGUUUUCGGGCUCCCUGAAAGUAAUACCCGGGUAUUAGGUUUUGGGGCUAUGGUAAGGUUUAAGGUUUUUGGCGUUAGGGUUAAAAUCACUGUCCAAAACCUUUGUAGGAACUCUUUUCCAACCUUUUGGAGUUAGUUAGACCAAAAAAAAAUGAAAAAUGAAAAAAUAUAUAUUUGGGGUUUCCGGGCUUCCUGAAUGUAAUACCCGGGUAUUAGAUUUUAAGGCUAGGGUAAGGUUUAAGUUUUUUGGCAUCAGGGUUAAAAUCACUGUCCAAAACCUUUGUAGGAACUCUUUUCCAACCUUUUGGAGUUAGUUAGACCAAAAAGUAUGAAAAAAGAAAAAAAUAUUAUUGGGGGUUUUCGGGCUCCCUGAAAGUAAUACCCGGGUAUUAGGUUUUGGGGCUAUGGUAAGGUUUAAGUUUUUUGGCGUUAGGGUUAAAAUCACUGUCCAAAACCUUUGUAGGAACUCUUUUCCAACCUUUUGGAGUUAGUUAGACCAAAAAAUAUGAAAAAAGAAAAAAAUAUUAUUGGGGGUUUUCGGGCUCCCUGAAAGUAAUACCCGGGUAUUAGGUUUUGGGGCUAUGGUAAGGUUUAAGUUUUUUGGCGUUAGGGUUAAAAUCACUGUCCAAAACCUUUGUAGGAACUCUUUUCCAACCUUUUGGAGUUAGUUAGACCAAAAAAAAAGAAAAAUUAAAAAACAAUAUUUGGGGUUUUCGGGGUUCCUGAAUGUAAUACCCGGGUAUUAGGUUUUAAGGCUAGGGUAAGGUUUAAGUUUUUUGGCAUUAGGGUUAAAAUCACUGUCCAAAACCUUUGUAGGAACUCUUUUCCAACCUUUUGGAGUUAGUUAGACCAAAAAAAAAAUGAAAAAUGAAAAAACAAUAUUUGGGGUUUUCGGGGUUCCUGAAUGUAAUACCCGGGUAUUAGAUUUUAAGGCUAGGGUAAGGUUUAAGUUUUUUGGCAUCAGGGUUAAAAUCACUGUCCAAAACCUUUGUAGGAACUCUUUUCCAACCUUUUGGAGUUAGUUAGACCAAAAAAAAUAUGAAAAAAGAAAAAAAUAUUAUUGGGGGUUUUCGGGCUCCCUGAAAGUAAUACCCGGGUAUUAGGUCAUGGGGCUAUGGUAAGGUUUAAGUUUUUUGGCGUUAGGGUUAAAAUCACUGUCCAAAACCUUUGUAGGAACUCUUUUCCAACCUUUUGGAGUUAGUUAGACCAAAAAAAAAAAAGAAAAAUGAAAAAAAAAUAUUUGGGGUUUACGGGCUUCCUGAAUUGUAAUACCCGGGUAUUAGAUUUUAAGGCCAGGGAAAGGUUUAAGUUUUUUGGCGUUAGGGUUAAAAUCACUGUCCAAAACCUUUGUAGGAACUCUUUUCCAACCUUUUGGAGUUAGUUAGACCAACAAAAAUGUAAAAUGAAGAAAAAAAUAUUUGGGGUGUUCAGGCUUCCUGAAGGUAAUACCCGGGUAUUAGAUUUCAAGGCUAGGGUAAGGUUUAAGGUUUUUGGCGUUAGGGUUAAAAUCACUGUCCAAAACCUUUGUAGGAACUCUUUUCCAACCUUUUGGAGUUAGUUAGACCAAAAAAAAAAAGAAAAAUGAAAAAAAAAUAUUUGGGGUGUUCAGGCUUCCUAAAAGUAAUACCCGGGUAUUAGGUUAUGGGGCUAUGGUAAGGUUUAAAGUUUUGGCGUAAGGGUUUAAAAUCACUGUCCAAAACCUUUGUAGGAACUCUUUUCCAACCUUUUGGAGUUAGUUAGACCAAAAAAAAUGAAAAAUUAAAAAAAAUAUAUUUGGGGUGUUCAGGCUUCCUAAAAGUAAUACCCGGGUAUUAGGUUAUGGGGCUAUGGUAAGGUUUAAGGUUUUUGGCGUUAGGGUUAAAAUCACUGUCCAAAACCUUUGUAGGAACUCUUUUUCAACCUUUUGGAGUUAGUUAGACCAAAAAAAAAAAAAGAAAAAUGAAAAAAAAAAUAUUUGGGGUUUACGGGCUUCCUGAAUGUAAUACCCGGGUAUUAGAUUAUGGGGCUAUGGUAAGGUUUAAGUUUUUUGGCGUUAGGGUUAAAAUCACUGUCCAAAACCUUUGUAGGAACUCUUUUCCAACCUUUUGGAGUUAGUUAGACCAAAAAAAAAAAGAAAAAUGAAAAAAAAAUAUUUGGGGUGUUCAGGCUUCCUAAAAGUAAUACCCGGGUAUUAGGUUAUGGGGCUAUGGUAAGGUUUAACGUUUUGGCGUUAGGUUUAAAAUCACUGUCCAAAACCUUUGUAGGAACUCUUUUUCAACCUUUUGGAGUUAGUUAGACCAAAAAAUAUGAAAAAAGAAAAAAAAAUAUUUGGGGGUUUUCGGGCUUCCUGAAUGUAAUACCCGGGUAUUAGAUUUUAAGGCCAGGGUAAGGUUUAAGUUUUUUGGCGUUAGGGUUAAAAUCACUGUCCAAAACCUUUGUAGGAACUCUUUUCCAACCUUUUGGAGUUAGUUAGACCAAAAAGUAUGAAAAAAGAAAAAAAUAUUAUUGGGGGUUUUCGGGCUUCCUGAAAGUAAUACCCGGGUAUUAGGUUUUGGGGCUAUGGUAAGGUUUAAGUUUUUUGGCGUUAGGGUUAAAAUCACUGUCCAAAACCUUUGUAGGAACUCUUUUCCAACCUUUUGGAGUUAGUUAGACCAAAAAAAAAAAGAAAAAUGAAAAAAAAAUAUUUGGGGUGUUCAGGCUUCCUAAAAGUAAUACGUAUUAGGUUAUGGGGCUAUGGUAAGGUUUAAGGUUUUUGGCGUUAGGGUUAAAAUCACUGUCCAAAACCUUUGUAGGAACUCUUUUUCAACCUUUUGGAGUUAGUUAGACCAAAAAAAAAAUGAAAAAUGAAAAAAAAAAUAUUUGGGGUUUACGGGCUUCCUGAAUGUAAUACCCGGGUAUUAGAUUUUAAGGCCAGGGAAAGGUUUAAGUUUUUUGGCGUUAGGGUUAAAAUCACUGUCCAAAACCUUUGUAGGAACUCUUUUCCAACCUUUUGGAGUUAGUUAGACCAAAAAAUAUGAAAAAAGAAAAAAAUAUUAUUGGGGGUUUUCGGGCUCCCUGAAAGUAAUACCCGGGUAUUAGGUUUUGGGGCUAUGGUAAGGUUUAAGUUUUUUGGCGUCAGGGUUAAAAUCACUGUCCAAAACCUUUGUAGGAACUCUUUUCCAACCUUUUGGAGUUAGUUAGAACAAAAAAUAUGAAAAAAAAAAAAAAUAUUAUUGGGGGUUUUCGGGCUCCCUGAAAGUAAUACCCGGGUAUUAGGUUUUGGGGCUAUGGUAAGGUUUAAGUUUUUUGGCGUUAGGGUUAAAAUCACUGUCCAAAACCUUUGUAGGAACUCUUUUCCAACCUUUUGGAGUUAGACCAAAAAAAAAAUGAAAAAUGAAAAAACAAUAUUUGGGGUUUACGGGCUUCCUGAAUGUAAUACCCGGGUAUUAGAUUUUAAGGCUAGGGUAAGGUUUAAGUUUCUUGGCAUUAGGGUUAAAAUCACUGUCCAAAACCUUUGUAGGAACUCUUUUCCAACCUUUUGGAGUUAGUUACACCAGAAAGUAUGAAAAAAGAAAAAAAUAUUAUUGGGGGUUUUCCGUCUCCCUGAAAGUAAUACCCGGGUAUUAGGUUUUGGGGCUAGGGUAAGGUUUAAGUUUUUUGGCGUUAGGGUUAAAAUCACUGUCCAAAACCUUUGUAGGAACUCUUUUCCAACCUUUUGGAGAUAGUUAGACCAAAAAAAAAUGAAAAAUUAAAAAAAAUAUUUGGGGUUUUCGGGGUUCCUGAAUGUAAUACCCGGGUAUUAGAUUUUGAGGCUAGGGUAAGGUUUAAGUUUUUUGGCAUUAGGGUUAAAAUCACUGUCCAAAACCUUUGUAGGAACUCUUUUCCAACCUUUUGGAGUUGGUUACACCAACAAAAAUGUAAAAUGAAGAAAAAAAUAUUUGGGGUGUUCAGGCUUCCUGAAGGUAAUACCCGGGUAUUAGAUUUCAAGGCUAGGGUAAGGUUUAAGGUUUUUGGCGUUAGGGUUAAAAUCACUGUCCAAAACCUUUGUAGGAACUCUUUUCCAACCUUUUGGAGUUAGUUAGACCAAAAAAUAUGAAAAAAGAAAAAAAUAUUAUUGGGGGUUUUUGGGCUCCCUGAAAGUAAUACCCAUGUAUUAGGUUUUGGGACUAGGGAAAGGUUUAAGGGUUUUGGCAUUAGGGUUAAAAUCACUGUCCAAAACCUUUGUAGGAACUCUUUUCCAACCUUUUGGAGUUAGUUAGACCAAAAAAAAAAGAAAAAUGAAAAAAAAAUAUUUGGGGUGUUCAGGCUUCCUAAAAGUAAUACCCGGGUAUUAGGUUAUGGGGCUAUGGUAAGGUUUAACGUUUUGGCGUUAGGUUUAAAAUCACUGUCCAAAACCUUUGUAGGAACUCUUUUUCAACCUUUUGGAGUUAGUUAGACCAGAAAAAAAAAUGAAAAAUGAAAAAAAAAAUAUUUGGGGUUUACGGGCUUCCUGAAUGUAAUACCCGGGUAUUAGGUUAUGGGGCUAUGGUAAGGUUUAAGGUUUUUGGCGUUAGGGUUAAAAUCACUGUCCAAAACCUUUGUAGGAACUCUUUUUCAACCUUUUAGAGUUAGUUAGACAAAAAAAAAAAAUAUGAAAAAUGAAAAAAAAACUAUUUGGGGUUAACGGGCUUCCUGAAUGUAAUACCCGGGUAUUAGAUUUUAAGGCCAGGGAAAGGUUUAAGUUUUUUGGCGUUAGGGUUAAAAUCACUGUCCAAAACCUUUGUAGGAACUCUUUUCCAACCUUUUGGAGUUAGUUAGACCAAAAAAAAAAAGAAAAAUGAAAAAAAAAUAUUUGGGGUGUUCAGGCUUCCUAAAAGUAAUACGUAUUAGGUUAUGGGGCUAUGGUAAGGUUUAACGUUUUGGCGUUAGGGUUAAAAUCACUGUCCAAAACCUUUGUAGGAACUCUUUUUCAACCUUUUGGAGUUAGUUAGACCAGAAAAAAAAAUGAAAAAUGAAAAAAAAAAUAUUUGGGGUUUACGGGCUUCCUGAAUGUAAUACCCGGGUAUUAGAUUUUAAGGCCAGGGUAAGGUUUAAGUUUUUUGGCGUUAGGGUUAAAAUCACUGUCCAAAACCUUUGUAGGAACUCUUUUCCAACCUUUUGGAGUUAGUUAGACCAAAAAAUAUGAAAAAAGAAAAAAAUAUUAUUGGGGGUUUUCGGGCUCCCUGAAAGUAAUACCCGGGUAUUAGGUUUUGGGGCUAUGGUAAGGUUUAACGUUUUUUGGCGUUAGGGUUAAAAUCACUGUCCAAAACCUUUGUAGGAACUCUUUUCCAACCUUUUGGAGUUAGUUAGACCAAAAAAUAUGAAAAAAGAAAAAAAUAUUAUUGGGGGUUUUCGGGCUUCCUGAAGGUAAUACCCAGGUAUUAGGUUUUGGGACUGGGGAAAGGUUUAAGGUUUUUGGCAUAAGGGUUAAAAUCCCUGUCCAAAACCUUUGUAGGAACACUUUUCCAACCUUUUGGAAUUAGAUAAACCAAAAAAAAAUGAAAAAUUAAAAAAUAUAUAUUUGGGGUUUUCGGGCUUCCUGAAUGUAAUACCCGGGUAUUAGAUUUUAAGGCUAGGGUAAGGUUUAAGUUUUUUGGCGUUAGGGUUAAAAUCACUGUCCAAAACCUUUGUAGGAACUCUUUUCCAACCUUUUGGAGUUAGUUAGACCAAAAAAUAUGAAAAAAGAAAAAAAUAUUAUUGGGGGUUUUCGGGCUUCCUGAAGGUAAUACCCAGGUAUUAGGUUUUGGGACUGGGGAAAGGUUUAAGGUUUUUGGCGUUAGGGUUAAAAUCACUGUCCAAAACCUUUGUAGGAACUCUUUUCCAACCUUUUGGAGUUAGUUAGACCAAAAAAAAAUGAAAAAUUAAAAAACAAUAUUUGGGGUUUUCGGGCUUCCUGAAUGUAAUACCCGGGUAUUAGAUUUUAAGGCUAGGGUAAGGUUUAAGUUUUUUGGCGUUAGGGUUAAAAUCACUGUCCAAAACCUUUGUAGGAACUCUUUUCCAACCUUUUGGAGUUAGUUAGACCAAAAAUAUGAAAAAGAAAAAAAAAAUAUUUGGGGUGUUCGGGCUUCCUGAAGGUAAUACCCGGGUAUUAGAUUUUAAGGCUAGGGUAAGGUUUAAGGUUUUUGGCGUUAGGGUUAAAGUCACUGUCCAAAACCUUUGUAGGAACUCUUUUCCAAACUUUUGGAGUUAGACCAAAAAAAAAGAAAAAUGAAAAAAAAAUAUUUGGGGUGUUCAGGCUUCCUAAAAGUAAUACCCGGGUAUUAGGUUAUGGGGCUAUGGUAAGGUUUAAGGUUUUUGGCGUUAGGGUUAAAAUCACUGUCCAAAACCUUUGUAGGAACUCUUUUCCAACCUUUUGGAGUUAGUUAGACCAAAAAAAAUGAAAAAUGAAGAAAAAAAUAUUUGGGGUGUUCAGGCUUCCUAGAAGUAAUACCCGGGUAUUAGGUUAUGGGGCUAUGGUAAGGUUUAAGGAUUUUGGCGUUAGGGUUAAAAUCACUGUCCAAAACCUUUGUAGGAACUCUUUUCCAACCUUUUGGAGUUAGUUAGACCAAAAAAAAUGAAAAAUGAAAAAAAAAAAUAUUGGGGUUUUUCGGGCUUCCUAAAAGUAAUACCCGGGUAUUAGGUUAUGGGGCUAUGGUAAGGUUUAAGGUUUUUGGCGUUAGGGUUAAAAUCACUGUCCAAAACCUUUGUAGGAACUCUUUUUCAACCUUUUGGAGUUAGUUAGACCAAAAAGUAUGAAAAAAGAAAAAAAUAUUAUUGGGGUUUUUCGGGCUCCCUGAAAGUAAUACCCGGGUAUUAGGUUUUGGGGCUAUGGUAAGGUUUAAGUUUUUUGGCGUUAGGGUUAAAAUCACUGUCCAAAACCUUUGUAGGAACUCUUUUCCAACCUUUUGGAGUUAGUUAGACCAAAAAAAAAUGAAAAAUUAAAAAACAAUAUUUGGGGUGUUCGGGCUUCCUGAAUGUAAUACCCGGGUAUUAGAUUUUGAGGCUAGGGUAAGGUUUAAGUUUUUUGGCAUUAGGGUUAAAAUCACUGUCCAAAACCUUUGUAGGAACUCUUUUCCAACCUUUUGGAGUUAGUUAGACCAAAAAAUAUGAAAAAAGAAAAAAUAUUAUUGGGGGUUUUCGGGCUCCCUGAAAGUAAUACCCGGGUAUUAGGUUUUGGGGCUAUGGUAAGGUUUAAGUUUUUUGGCGUUAGGGUUAAAAUCACUGUCCAAAACCUUUGUAGGAACUCUUUUCCAACCUUUUGGAGUUAGUUAGACCAAAAAGUAUGAAAAAAGAAAAAAAUAUUAUUGGGGGUUUUCGGGCUCCUGAAAGUAAUACCCGGGUAUUAGGUUUUGGGGCUAUGGUAAGGUUUAAGUUUUUUGGCGUUAGGGUUAAAAUCACUGUCCAAAACCUUUGUAGGAACUCUUUUCCAACCUUUUGGAGUUAGUUAGACCAAAAAAUAUGAAAAAAGAAAAAAAUAUUAUUGGGGGUUUUCGGGCUCCCUGAAAGUAAUACCCGGGAAUUAGGUUUUGGGGCUAUGGUAAGGUUUAAGUUUUUUGGCGUUAGGGUUAAAAUCACUGUCCAAAACCUUUGUAGGAACUCUUUUCCAACCUUUUGGAGUUAGUUAGACCAAAAAAAAAAAAGAAAAAUGAAAAAAAAAUAUUUGGGGUGUUCAGGCUUCCUAAAAGUAAUACCUGGGUAUUAGGUUAUAGGGCUAUGGUAAGGUUUAAGGUUUUUGGCGUUAGGGUUAAAAUCACUGUCCAAAACCUUUGUAGGAACUCUUUUCCAACCUUUUGGAGUUGGUUACACCAAAAAAAAUGUAAAAUGAAAAAAAAAAAUAUUUGGGGUGUUCGGGCUUCCUGAAUGUAAUACCCGGGUAUUAGAUUUUAAGGCUAGGGUAAGGUUUAAGUUUUUUGGCAUUAGGGUUAAAAUCACUGUCCAAAACCUUUGUAGGAACUCUUUUCCAACCUUUUGGAGUUAGUUAGACCAAAAAAAAAAGAAAAAUGAAAAAAAAAUAUUUGGGGUGUUCAGGCUUCCUAAAAGUAAUACCCGGGUAUUAGGUUAUGGGGCUAUGGUAAGGUUUAAGUUUUUUGGCGUUAGGGUUAAAAUCACUGUCCAAAACCUUUGUAGGAACUCUUUUCCAACCUUUUGGAGUUAGUUAGACCAAAAAAAAAAUGAAAAAUGAAAAAAAAAAUAUUUGGGGUUUACGGGCUUCCUGAAUGUAAUACCCGGGUAUUAGAUUUUAAGGCUAGGGAAAGGUUUAAGUUUUUUGGCGUUAGGGUUAAAAUCACUGUCCAAAACCUUUGUAGGAACUCUUUUCCAACCUUUUGGAGUUAGUUAGACCAAAAAAUAUGAAAAAAGAAAAAAAUAUUAUUGGGGGUUUUCGGGCUCCCUGAAAGUAAUACCCGGGUAUUAGGUUUUGGGGCUAUGGUAAGGUUUAAGUUUUUUGGCGUUAGGGUUAAAAUCACUGUCCAAAACCUUUGUAGGAACUCUUUUCCAACCUUUUGGAGUUAGUAAGACCAAAAAAUAUAAAAAAAGAAAAAAAUAUUAUUGGGGGUGUUCAGGCUUCCUAAAAGUAAUACCCGGGUAUUAGGUUAUGGGGCUAUGGUAAGGUUUAACGUUUUGGCGUUAGGUUUAAAAUCACUGUCCAAAACCUUUGUAGGAACUCUUUUCCAACCUUUUGGAUUUAGUUAGACCAAAAAAAAAAAGAAAAAUUAAAAAAAAUAUAUUUGGGGUGUUCAGGCUUCCUAAAAGUAAUACCCGGGUAUUAGGUUAUGGGGCUAUGGUAAGGUUUAAGGUUUUUGGCGUUAGGGUUAAAAUCACUGUCCAAAACCUUUGUAGGAACUCUUUUCCAACCUUUUGGAGUUAGUUAGACCAAAAAAAAAAUGAAAAAUGAAAAAAAAAAUAUUUGGGGUUUACGGGCUUCCUGAAUGUAAUACCCGGGUAUUAGAUUUUAAGGCCAGGGAAAGGUUUAAGUUUUUUGGCGUUAGGGUUAAAAUCACUGUCCAAAUCCUUUGUAGGAACUCUUUUCCAACCUUUUGGAGUUAGUUAGACCAAAAAAAAAAAUGAAAAGUGAAAAAAAAAAUAUUUGGGGUUUACGGGCUUCCUGAAUGUAAUACCCGGGUAUUAGAUUUUAAGGCCAGGGAAAGGUUUAAGUUUUUGGCGUUAGGGUUAAAAUCACUGUCCAAAACCUUUGUAGGAACUCUUUUCCAACCUUUUGGAGUUAGUUAGACCAAAAAAAAAAAGAAAAAUGAAAAAAAAAUAUUUGGGGUGUUCAGGCUUCCUAAAAGUAAUACCCGGGUAUUAGGUUCAUGGGGCUAUGGUAAGGUUUAAGGUUUUUGGCGUUAGGGUUAAAAUCACUGUCCAAAACCUUUGUAGGAACUCUUUUUCAACCUUUUGGAGUUAGUUAGACCAAAAAAAAAAUGAAAAAUGAAAAAAAAAAUAUUUGGGGUUUACGGGCUUCCUGAAUGUAAUACCCGGG
RNAcentral lists this long non-coding RNA (15227 nucleotides) under Xyrichtys novacula (pearly razorfish). The record is from RNAcentral. Lineage: Eukaryota; Metazoa; Chordata; Actinopteri; Labriformes; Labridae.